RNAcentral lists this ribosomal RNA (376 nucleotides) under uncultured soil bacterium. Its description in RNAcentral is "bacterial SSU rRNA". It matches the Rfam family "Bacterial small subunit ribosomal RNA", at positions 26 to 399 of the family's 1533-position model. The record is from RNAcentral.
AGGACGAACGCUGGCGGCGUGCUUAACACAUGCAAGUCGAGCGGAGAGGCCCUUUCGGGGGUACUCGAGCGGCGAACGGGUGAGUAACACGUGAGUAAUCUGCCCCUCACUUUGGGAUAGCCACCGGAAACGGUGAUUAAUACCGGAUAUGACGCGGCCUCGCAUGGGGUUGUGUGGAAAGUUUUUCGGUGAGGGAUGUGCUCGCGGCCUAUCAGCUUGAUGGUGAGGUAAUGGCUCACCAUGGCUUCGACGGGUAGCCGGCCUGAGAGGGUGACCGGUCACGACUGGGACUGAGACACGGCCCAGACUCCGUAGGGAGCAGGCAGGUGGGAAUACGUUGGAACAAGUGGGCGAAGCCUGACUCCAGCGAACGCCG